Molecule: long non-coding RNA, 478 nt
Organism: Tripterygium wilfordii
Lineage: Eukaryota; Viridiplantae; Streptophyta; Magnoliopsida; Celastrales; Celastraceae
Exons: 3
Source: RefSeq, a predicted model, not a curated record
UUGGGGCACGUGCGUGGAUGAUGGAUAGGAGCCUUGUGAUGGUCCUAGUCCAUAGGAUUCCCGUAACGGUAUUUAUUACUGCACGCUGGCUAGUUAUUUGAUGCUAGGCCAGGUGUGGCAGGCUGAGAUAUCAUCAUGGGGCCAGUUGUGAGUGGUUGUGACCACAUGUGUGCCAACCUUCUCUCUAGUGGUUUGUGAUUUACGAUGUUGGAUGACUGGUUUUGGUUGGAUGCUAGAGAGAGAGGUAGUGCGGGUGGAUUCUCGUCGGCUUAUCGCCACAGGGCGGGAAUCUGAUUCGCCGGCUUGGGUGUCAUUGGAGGUGGAUAUGGAGGUUCGGUUGGGUUGAUCGGGUGCAUUAGUUUUGCAUUGCAUAUUGUUGCAUCGGUUACUCGUUGUUACUUUUUCAGCCUUGUUAUUCUUUACUUGUGCUCUUUUGUUUUGUCCCUACUGAGCCUUCUGCGCUCACCCUAUCUACUUU